Molecule: ribosomal RNA, 156 nt
Filed under: Pupalia lappacea
Lineage: Eukaryota; Viridiplantae; Streptophyta; Magnoliopsida; Caryophyllales; Amaranthaceae
Also listed under: 2 other names
Description: 5.8S ribosomal RNA
Rfam family: 5.8S ribosomal RNA
About the family: 5.8S ribosomal RNA (5.8S rRNA) is a component of the large subunit of the eukaryotic ribosome. It is transcribed by RNA polymerase I as part of the 45S precursor that also contains 18S and 28S rRNA. Functionally, it is thought that 5.8S rRNA may be involved in ribosome translocation.
Source: RNAcentral
CUCUCGGCAACGGAUAUCUCGGCUCUCGCAUCGAUGAAGAACGUAGCGAAAUGCGAUACUUGGUGUGAAUUGCAGAAUCCCGUGAACCAUCGAGUUUUUGAACGCAAGUUGCGCCCGAAGCCUUUUUGGCCAGGGCACGUCUGCCUGGGCGUCACG